This 86-nucleotide transfer RNA is filed under the name Rhizoctonia solani. RNAcentral's name for it is "tRNA-Val". It matches the Rfam family "tRNA". From Rfam's summary of the family: Transfer RNA (tRNA) molecules are approximately 80 nucleotides in length. Lineage: Eukaryota; Fungi; Basidiomycota; Agaricomycetes; Cantharellales; Ceratobasidiaceae. The record is from RNAcentral.
GGUUGCAUAGUCUAGUGGUUAUGAUAUCUGCUUUACAUGCGCUGUAUAAUCGCAGAGGGUCCCAAGUUCGAACCUUGGUGCAGCCA